Molecule: ribosomal RNA, 166 nt
Filed under: Surendra vivarna
Lineage: Eukaryota; Metazoa; Arthropoda; Insecta; Lepidoptera; Lycaenidae
Description: partial 16S large subunit ribosomal RNA
Source: RNAcentral
UAAAUAAAAUUUACUUUUUUUAAAUUUUAUAUUUAAUUUAUUUCAAAAUUCUAUUACUAUACUAAUUCUUUAUAAAUUAUGUAAUUUUUUCUUUAAAAAUACUAAAAUAUUAAAUUUUUAAAAUUAUUUUUAUUAAAUAUUUAUUAUUAAUUUUUUAAUUAAUUAU